This 506-nucleotide ribosomal RNA is filed under the name uncultured bacterium. RNAcentral's name for it is "partial 16S ribosomal RNA". It matches the Rfam family "Bacterial small subunit ribosomal RNA", at positions 28 to 523 of the family's 1533-position model. The record is from RNAcentral.
GAUGAACGCUAGCUACAGGCUUAACACAUGCAAGUCGAGGGGUAACGAGAGGAAAGCUUGCUUUCCUUGUCGACGACUGGCGCACGGGUGAGUAACGCGUAUCCAACCUGCCCCCAACUAGGGAAUAACCUUGCGAAAGUAAGACUAAUACCCUAUAAUUUCCUCAGAUGUCAUCUGACGAGGAAUAAAGAUUUAUCGGUUGUGGAUGGGGAUGGGUCUGAUUAGCUUGUUGGCGGGGUAACGGCCCACCAAGGCAACGAUCAGUAGGGGUUCUGAGAGGAAGGUCCCCCACAUUGGAACUGAGACACGGUCCAAACUCCUACGGGAGGCAGCAGUGAGGAAUGUUGGUCAAUGGGCGGAAGCCUGAACCAGCCAAGUAGCGUGCAGGAUGACGGCCCUAUGGGUUGUAAACUGCUUUUAUACAGGAAUAAAGUUAGCCACGUGUGGUUAUUUGUAGGUACUGUAUGAAUAAGGACCGGCUAAUUCCGUGCCAGCCGCCGCCGUAA